CGCUUAGAAGGAAACGGACGGAACUGAGAAGUUGCCUGUCGAAUUCAAUACGUAGAAACCUGGUAGCAGGCUAAUACGUAUGCAUUUUCGGCAGGUGAGCGUUGCGACCAAUUUUUCUACCGGCGAAGGGCCAUGGUAUGCCGACUGAGCCUUCGGGCCUGGUGUUCCUACUGUGGCUCCUGUCUGGGUUAGAGAGAUUGUGGACCAGCAGUGUCAGGCGUAAUGUCUCGAGGUGGACGCCCGAGUGUUGGCGAAAUAGUUAGGUCCUGCUCGCAGAACCUGACGAGUUCCAGCAUUCGUGGCGAUCUGGUACUCGACCGGCACAUAUGGUCAGCAGCGUCCGCGUCAGCCACCCGUCCGACCCGUCUUGAAACACGGACCAAGAAGUCUAACAUGUGCGCAAGUCAAUGAACAGUAAAUUCAAAGGCGAAAUGAAAGUAAAAGUCAGCCUGGCUGACUUAGGUGAGAUCCUGAGACUAUGGUUUUGGGCGCAUCACCGUCCCGUCCCGUGAGUAAUGUCUCAGGGGCGGAGAAAGAGCGUACACGUUGGGACCCGAAAGAUGGUGAACUAUGCUUGAGCAGGAUGAAGCCAGAGGAAACUCUGGUGGAGGUCCGCAGCGGUUCUGACGUGCAAAUCG
Molecule: ribosomal RNA, 638 nt
Filed under: Phanodermopsis sp. TCR190
Lineage: Eukaryota; Metazoa; Nematoda; Enoplea; Enoplida; Phanodermatidae
Description: eukaryotic LSU rRNA
Rfam family: Eukaryotic large subunit ribosomal RNA
Source: RNAcentral